CUCCCAUGUGGCCGGAACAGCGUGACUCAGAUCCCGAGGUCCACUUCCUGGAUAUUGAAGAGGACCAUUUCGUGGUGUCAACAUGUAGGUCUGCCCUUGGAGUGCCAUGCAGUCAUCUAUCAUGUCCAAAUAUGUGCCAUUUUAGAAGACGAUGGUGCCAAGUCCCAAGAGUUGGAUUGAAGGAAACCCAAAGAAGCAAGAUUAAACCCGGGAAUGUCAAGAGGGUGCCUUGGACCUGCCUCUGAAUGUCAAGAUCAGGACAAUGCUCUUCUGCAACCCAGCUGAGUUGCAGUUGUCAAUGAAUGGAUGAAAGAAUGAUUACAUAGGCCAAAAAGUUAUCUGCGAUCCUGGGGACUGGGGCAGUGAG
Long non-coding RNA from Eptesicus fuscus (big brown bat), 367 nucleotides. RefSeq lists it as uncharacterized. The transcript is spliced from 3 exons. NCBI's taxonomy places the organism in Eukaryota, Metazoa, Chordata, Mammalia, Chiroptera, Vespertilionidae. The record is from RefSeq and is a predicted model, not a curated record.